UACAGGGGGUGCAAACGUUGCUCGGAAUUAUUGGGCGUAAAGCGCGCGUAGGCGGCUACCUAAGUCGGAUGUGAAAGCCCCUGGCUUAACUGGGGAAGUGCACCCGAAACUGGGUAGCUAGAGUGCAAAAGAGGGUCGCGGAAUUCCCGGUGUAGAGGUGAAAUUCGUAGAUAUCGGGAGGAACACCGGUGGCGAAGGCGGUUCUCUGGGCCUUACCUGACGCUGAGGAGCGAAAGCGUGGGGAGCGAACAGG
This 253-nucleotide ribosomal RNA is filed under the name uncultured bacterium. RNAcentral's name for it is "partial 16S ribosomal RNA". It matches the Rfam family "Bacterial small subunit ribosomal RNA", at positions 524 to 776 of the family's 1533-position model. The record is from RNAcentral.